GCAAAACGCAGGGAGAAAGCUGUCCCUCUUUUCUUUGGUUUUUCUGGUCCACCCUAUGAAAAUAAAUCUAGGGUUUUUUCUUUAAUUCCAAUUCGAAUUUGGAUACGGCUUCUUCUUCUUCUUUUUCUUCUUUUUCUCUGAAUCCCCAGUUUCAUUCAAACAGUCGCAAAAGAUUCAUUAUGAAGGAAUCAAUCGAGCAGCAAUCCAACUCACCGGCGAAGAAAGCAGCGAUCCCGCCGUACAUGAAGGCGGUGUCGGGGUCGCUUGGCGGCAUCGUAGAGGCUUCUUGCUUGCAGCCGAUUGAUGUUAUUAAGACCAGGUUGCAGCUCGAUAGGACUGGCACCUACAAGGGAAUUAUCCACUGUGGGGCGACGGUCUCGCGAACUGAAGGCGUGCGGGCUUUGUGGAAGGGGUUGACUCCGUUCGCCACCCACUUGACUUUGAAAUAUGCGCUGCGCAUGGGAUCAAAUGCGGUACUGCAGACGGCGUUUAAGGACUCUGAGACCGGCAAGCUAAGCAAUCGAGGAAGAAUUCUCGCUGGAUUUGGUGCUGGGGUUCUUGAGGCUCUUGCUAUUGUUACGCCUUUUGAGGUGGUGAAAAUUAGACUACAGCAACAAAAAGGGUUGAGUCCUGAGCUCCUGAAGUACAAGGGUCCCAUACACUGUGCUCGUAUGAUCGUCCGUGAAGAAGGCUUGCUUGGGCUCUGGGCAGGCGCUGCUCCAACUGUUAUGCGCAAUGGGACAAACCAGGCAGCCAUGUUUACUGCAAAAAAUGCUUUUGAUGUAUUAUUGUGGAAGAAACAUGAAGGUGAUGGGAAAGUCCUCCAACCAUGGCAGUCCAUGAUAUCAGGAUUUCUAGCUGGAACAGCAGGUCCAGUGUGCACUGGGCCAUUUGAUGUGGUCAAAACAAGGCUAAUGGCUCAGAGUCGAGAGGGGGGCAAUCUGAAGUACAAAGGCAUGAUCCAUGCUAUCAGAACAAUAUAUGCUGAGGAAGGGCUUCUUGCCUUGUGGAAGGGACUGUUGCCCCGGCUGAUGAGAAUCCCACCUGGCCAGGCCAUAAUGUGGACUGUGGCUGACCAAAUUACUGGUCUCUAUGAGAGGAGAUAUAUACACAAUGCUCCCUUGUAGGUAAUGUUUACAUUGUUUUGCUUGUUCUGGUCUCUAGUCACCUAGCUAGGCCAUGACUGACUCAUGAGAGGAAGACAACUUUGGAGGUAUUUGCUUGCAUUGUUUUGCUUGUUCUGGUUUUAAAGUCCAUUGCAAGCGUGUAAUAAUAAAUUUCUUUAGUUUUUCUUCUUGAUUUGGUUGUUUAGAAGACACUGAAAUAUGAAAUGGAUAGCCGUAAUAAGCAAGAUUUCCUUAAACCUUUUCAAAUUUGUUACAGUUUCAGUGAUGCAGUAGGAGGAUACGCUUGCAUCCUGAAGCCAAGGUUCUAGUCUGACCUACUAGCACUUGUUGAUGCCUUGGUUUAAUUCUUGUUUGCCAUAUGAGGGGUAAUUCUUUUGGGGUUUCUUUAUUUUGUUCAAGCAAAUAGCAUGCUUUCUGUUUGCUAAAUGAGAAGGUGGACAUAAAAUCAUUCAGUAAACUGUUUAUUCAGUAAAUUGUUUGUUUGGUGUCACAAUCUUAAGGAGGACCCUCCUUUACUUUGUGCAAGUUGUCAAUAUGAUAACUUCAUCCUGAACUCUCAUGGCAUUAAAAGACAAAAAUCAAUAGUCUUGAUGCACUUGACAUAUCUGAGCCUGCAUUGUUCUUCUGCAUUGAAUUCCUGGCUGCUGCAAUAGCCAGACUGCUAACAUAUUUCCUUUCAUAUACUGUGUUUUUUGGGGUUAACCUAAAUGGAAAUUUUCUGUUUGUGUGUGAUUGACCAAUUUGCAACCCUUUACUGACUUUACUAACACGGUGGAGCUAUUAUCAAUGAAUUCAAUAGCACAUAAGUUAGGCUCAUAUGAGGUUGUCAUUCUCCCAAAUAACAAUAUGUAAAUGUAUGAUGUGUUAUCAAAUAACAAUAUGUGAAUAUCUGAUGUGUAACACCCCUAAUUUUUAAAUU
This 2046-nucleotide unclassified non-coding RNA is filed under the name Hevea brasiliensis (rubber tree). The record is from RNAcentral. Lineage: Eukaryota; Viridiplantae; Streptophyta; Magnoliopsida; Malpighiales; Euphorbiaceae.